Molecule: unclassified non-coding RNA, 328 nt
Filed under: soil metagenome
Description: partial contains 5.8S ribosomal RNA, internal transcribed spacer 2, and large subunit ribosomal RNA
Rfam family: 5.8S ribosomal RNA (bases 1-120)
Source: RNAcentral
GAUGAAGAACGUAGCGAAAUGCGAUAAGUAAUGUGAAUUGCAGAAUUCCGUGAAUCAUCGAAUCUUUGAACGCACAUUGCGCCCCUUGGUAUUCCGAGGGGCAUGCCUGUUCGAGCGUCAUUAUAACCCUCAAGCUCAGCUUGGUGUUGGGGCCUGCUGCACUGGCAGCCCUUAAAAUCAGUGGCGGCGCCAUCUGGCUCUAAGCGUAGUAAUUCUUCUCGCUAUGGAGUCCUGGUGGAUGCUUGCCAUCAACCCCCAAUUUUUCUAUGGUUGACCUCGGAUCAGGUAGGGAUACCCGCUGAACUCAAGCAUAUCAAUAAGCGGAGGA